CGGCGUGACGUCAAUAAGAAGCGACGGUGAGCAGGCCUACGAUAUCAAUACACAAAAAUAGGACGUGGGAGGAAAUAAGGUUUUGUUGUUUUUGGUUAAAUAAAUCCGUUUGAUUCAACGCAAUGCCGAAAGUGAAAAGGAGCAGGAAACCACCUCCGGAUGGCUGGGAGUUGAUUGAACCGACAUUGGACGAAUUAGACCAAAAAAUGAGAGAAGCCGAGACGGAGCCUCACGAGGGAAAGCGGAAGGUGGAGUCCCUGUGGCCGAUAUUCAGACUGCAUCAUCAGAGGAGCAGAUAUAUCUUCGACUUGUUCUACAAGAGGAAGGCCAUCAGCAGAGAGCUGUAUGACUACUGUAUUAAGGAGAGUUAUGCUGAUAAGAACCUGAUUGCUAAGUGGAAGAAACAGGGAUACGAGAACCUGAUCGCUGUGUGUGUGUGUGUGUG
Long non-coding RNA from Oncorhynchus nerka (sockeye salmon), 445 nucleotides. RefSeq lists it as uncharacterized. The transcript is spliced from 3 exons. The record is from RefSeq and is a predicted model, not a curated record. Lineage: Eukaryota; Metazoa; Chordata; Actinopteri; Salmoniformes; Salmonidae.